This 627-nucleotide long non-coding RNA is filed under the name Cricetulus griseus (Chinese hamster). RNAcentral describes it as "lncRNA (ENSCGRG00000025167.1)". The record is from RNAcentral. Lineage: Eukaryota; Metazoa; Chordata; Mammalia; Rodentia; Cricetidae.
CCUAGGGCAGCAAGGCCAGGGCAGGGGAUGCGUUGAUGCCGCUGAUCUGCCCUUUCGUGUUCGUCGGCUGCAUCCGAAGUGUCUGUCUCUCCUAUGAGGAAUCUGAGGGCAAAGAGAAUAACUUGGUGUCCCAUCACACUCUGGGAGUCGGAAGACAGUACUAACACCAUGUGUUCUGGCUGCUUUUCUCUUUCCACUCAGCUUCGUGUUUUCUCCCUACCGGAAAUCUGAUGGGCUUAUGACAUCAUGGCUGGCUGCUGAGCGAUGGAGUGGAUGCCACAAAGAAAUCCGACAUAUCCGAUGGAUUCAGAAAUCACUUUCCCUCCUGCGGCUGGAGGAACAGGCAUGUGCAGGCAGGAGAACCUGAGCUUUGUUUGAAAAAUUAUUAAAAAAAAAAAAAAACACAAAAAAAAAAACGAAACAAAAAGCAACCAAACCAAGUCUUGCCUGGCAUUAAAGCACACACAAAAAAACGAAACAAAAAGCAACCAAACCAAGUCUUGCCUGGCAUUAAAGGCAAUUUUCUUAAAGACAAGCAAAAGGUUUGGCCAUCGUCCUCUUUUAAUAAAAAUGCUGGGUUUCAUGAGACAAAGUGGCUAAUAAAUUCGGCCCACAGCCUCCUGUGAG